CAGGCUUCCCAGCCAAGCCUGGGGUCACUGGCAUGUAAAAGGAUCCUGGCUCCAAAGGUUCAGGGAAGUGGGCAGGACGUACAGAUUCCACAUGUCUGAGGAGCAGCCGCCAUCAAAUUGUUCAC
This is a non-coding RNA of Lonchura striata (white-rumped munia), 125 nucleotides long. NCBI's taxonomy places the organism in Eukaryota, Metazoa, Chordata, Aves, Passeriformes, Estrildidae. The record is from RefSeq and is a predicted model, not a curated record.